RNAcentral lists this long non-coding RNA (389 nucleotides) under Homo sapiens (human). Its description in RNAcentral is "TDRD6 and SLC25A27 antisense RNA 1, transcript variant 2 (TDRD6-AS1)". Lineage: Eukaryota; Metazoa; Chordata; Mammalia; Primates; Hominidae. The record is from RNAcentral.
AGGCCCCCGGCGCCGGCAUUCCGGGCGUCGAGCACAUCUUGACGGCGCGGCGCGGCCCCCACUUCCGGAAAUUAAGGGCCGCGCCUCAGGGCCUCGAAAUCCUCCGCGCCGCCUGAAGGCGAGUCCCAGCCAAACUAGGUUCAAAGGACCCAGUGGAGGGGAAGAAUGCCGGCGAGGCCUUUUCUCGGCAACUCCCCCGUCGAGGGUCCUCCGGGACUCCCGCCACGGACUGGGAGAACAUACUAUUUCAUAUCAAAUCAGAUUCUCCACGUUACCUACUCAAGUCAUAAGCGUCUGAAGAAAGUGCUCUGUAAAUUCUCAGCAGAAUAUGCUUUUAACAAUUCUUUAAAAACAAUAAAGUCAUAAUAAAAAUCAAAAAAAAAAAAAAA